Molecule: ribosomal RNA, 460 nt
Filed under: uncultured bacterium
Lineage: Bacteria
Description: partial 16S ribosomal RNA
Rfam family: Bacterial small subunit ribosomal RNA
Source: RNAcentral
CCUACGGGAGGCAGCAGUGAGGAAUAUUGGUCAAUGGACGAGAGUCUGAACCAGCCAAGUAGCGUGAAGGAUGACUGCCCUAUGGGUUGUAAACUUCUUUUAUAUGGGAAUAAAAUGUUCCACGUGUGGGAUUUUGUAUGUACCAUAUGAAUAAGGAUCGGCUAACUCCGUGCCAGCAGCCGCGGUAAUACGGAGGAUUCGAGCGUUCUCCGGAUUUAUUGGGUUUAAAGGGAGCGUAGGUGGAUUGUUAAGUCAGUUGUGAAAGUUUGCGGCUCAACCGUAAAAUUGCAGUUGAAACUGGCAGUCUUGAGUACAGUAGAGGUGGGCGGAAUGCGUGGUGUAGCGGUGAAAUGCUUAGAUAUCACGAAGAACUCCGAUUGCGAAGGCAGUUCACUGGACUGCAACUGACACUGAGGCUCGAAAGUGUGGGUAUCAAACAGGAUUAGAUACCCCGGUAGUC